This is a non-coding RNA of Pelobates cultripes (western spadefoot toad), 288 nucleotides long. The record is from the annotation of a GenBank genome assembly. Lineage: Eukaryota; Metazoa; Chordata; Amphibia; Anura; Pelobatidae.
GGGAUGGGGUGACUAGUGACAGAGUGAGGAAGGGGUUGACUAGGGACAGAGGGGGUGAUUAGUGACAGAGUUAGGGAGGGAGUGACUAGUGACAGAGAGAGGGAUGGGGUGACUAGUGACAGUCACCCCCUCCCUCCCUCUGUCACUAGUCACUACCUCCCUCUGUCACUAGUCACUACCUCACUCUGUCACUAGUCACUCCCUCACUCUGUCACCAGUCAUCCCCUCACUCUGUCACUAGUCACCUCUUCCCUCCCUCACUUUUCCACUAGUCACCUCUUCCCUCCC